This 253-nucleotide ribosomal RNA is filed under the name uncultured bacterium. RNAcentral's name for it is "partial 16S ribosomal RNA". It matches the Rfam family "Bacterial small subunit ribosomal RNA", at positions 524 to 776 of the family's 1533-position model. The record is from RNAcentral.
UACGAAGGGGGCUAGCGUUGCUCGGAAUCACUGGGCUUAAAGGGCUCGUAGGCGGUUUGUCGCGUCGGGAGUGAAAUCAUCUGGCUUAACUGGGUGCUUGCUUUCGAUACGGGCAGACUAGAGGUAUGCAGGGGAGAACGGAAUUCCUGGUGUAGCGGUGAAAUGCGUAGAUAUCAGGAGGAACGCCGGAGGCGAAAGCGAGUGACUGGCGCGUUCCUGACGCUGAGGUGCGAAAGCUAGGGGAGCAAACAGG